GUUUGCUUGCUGCCUCAACAGGGUUCUUUUUCUACUCGUUACUUGCCAUAACACUUUUCACAAAUUUUGAUGAGAAAGAGAGAAUUAGCUGAGAAGGUGAUAAGACAAGGGAUGAGAAGGUUGUAGGAAGAGAGAAUUAGAUGCAAUUCCCAAACGCAGAAUCAAGUAGAGAGAGAAGAAAAUAAAAGAGAACCAACUAAUCUCCCUGGUGAAG
This 214-nucleotide long non-coding RNA is filed under the name Theobroma cacao (cacao). Its description in RNAcentral is "long non-coding RNA (TCAC_LNC002751)". Lineage: Eukaryota; Viridiplantae; Streptophyta; Magnoliopsida; Malvales; Malvaceae. The record is from RNAcentral.